AUCUAAUUAGUUUAAGAAAAAUUUAAAUUUGUGGAAUUUAGGAUAAUUAUAGUAUUAUUAGAUA
RNAcentral lists this transfer RNA (64 nucleotides) under Lachesilla texcocana. RNAcentral's name for it is "tRNA-His". Lineage: Eukaryota; Metazoa; Arthropoda; Insecta; Psocodea; Lachesillidae. The record is from RNAcentral.